CUUAUGGUGUAAUACUAACACAUCGGAUUUUCGCACCGAAGAUGAAAGUUUCUAAG
Molecule: transfer RNA, 56 nt
Filed under: Paratapes textilis (textile venus clam)
Lineage: Eukaryota; Metazoa; Mollusca; Bivalvia; Venerida; Veneridae
Description: Paphia textile (textile venus clam) tRNA-Glu
Source: RNAcentral